RNAcentral lists this ribosomal RNA (384 nucleotides) under uncultured bacterium. RNAcentral's name for it is "bacterial SSU rRNA". It matches the Rfam family "Bacterial small subunit ribosomal RNA", at positions 8 to 392 of the family's 1533-position model. The record is from RNAcentral.
AGAGUUUGAUCCCUGGCUCAGAAUGAACGCUGGCGGCGUGCCUAACACAUGCAAGUCGGAUGUGCCGCAAGGUGCAUGGCAGACGGGUGAGUAACGCGUGGGGAAUCUACCUCUUUGUGGGGAAUAACGCUCCGAAAGGAGUGGUAAUACCGCAUGAGAUCCAUGGCUGGGAUGCUGUGGAUGAAACCUGGGGACCGCAAGGCCUGGGGCAAGGAGAGGAUCCUGCGUCUGAUUAGCUAGUUGGUGAGGUAAUGGCCCACCAAGGCGACGAUCAGUAGCCGGCCUGAGAGGGUGAUCGGCCACACUGGAACUGAGACACGGUCCAGACUCCUACGGGAGGCAGCAGUGGGGAAUUUUGCGCAAUGGGCGAAAGCCUGACGCAGC